Molecule: transfer RNA, 74 nt
Filed under: Candidatus Rokuibacteriota bacterium
Lineage: Bacteria; Candidatus Rokuibacteriota
Also listed under: 2 other names
Description: tRNA-Gln
Rfam family: tRNA
About the family: Transfer RNA (tRNA) molecules are approximately 80 nucleotides in length. Their secondary structure includes four short double-helical elements and three loops (D, anti-codon, and T loops).
Source: RNAcentral
UGGGAGAUCGUCUAAUGGUAGGACGCGGGGCUCUGGACCCCGUAGUGGAGGUUCGACUCCUCCUCUCCCAGCCA